GGUCCCACUGUCGUGUGGCGGUGGUGUGACCAUUGCACCGCAACUAUGGUGAUGGCGGGGGUGUUCUGCUUUGGCUACAACACUAAUGUGCAGGUGCAGCCAACCAACCAUGAAGCGGAUGCAGGCAGACGCAACAAAUGCCGACAUGCCAUGGCUGCUGGAUCUAUCUGGCUGGUAGCAGUGACCUUCGUCUUCGACUUGGUGGUUCUAGGUGAUUGUCAGGAUAACGAGGAGGGCUAAACAAUGACAGUUGUGGCCUUCGUCUUUGACACCAUGUGUUGUUUUAGGGAAGUUUCUGGUUCAUAAUUGUUGUGAUUUCUUUGUACAUGUGCCUUCCCAUCGUUGGCCUCAUGUUUUAUCUGUUUGUUUGUACAAACUUCUACUACUCAAGUUUUUUUACAGUGGAAGGACACAUUAUGAAACUCAGGUUUCUAGGUCAGGUCCCAGCAGUGAUCAUCUGGUCAUGUUUUUAUCUGUUUGUUUAUAAAAAUUUCAACUUCUCAAGUUUCCGAAAGUGUUUAAUUGCUUCCUUGUUACUGCCGUGAUUGAAAAAAAUUCUAUUUUUUAUUCCAUUCUUUCGCAUCAAAUUAUUGGAAUUUGUGAUGUCAACUCGUUGGUCCUAGACCUGGGAUCAUUUGUGCUAUUUUUCAUUCUUUUCACCUGGGACCUCUCUAACUAGCCAUACAGAGAUCAAACUAUCUAUCUGCUGCAUGUAGCAAGUUAGUUGUUUAACUUUUAGUCUUACUUUGACAUGCUCAAUUCUCAAUCCAUAUUAUUUGAGAAAAUUGGUCCAUCUUAUUUGCAUGUGAUGAUGUUGAGAAGUUUGUGACUGACUACUUGCUAUGCAAUGUUAGUUUCCUUUGUUCAUUGAUUGAGUUAAUUAGUGGAGCAUUUCCAUUGUUUGUACUCUUCCUGGAUUGUAAAGUCUGAGCUUGUGGAUAUACCAUGUUGGGUGAAUGUUAAUAUUAUCACGUGCCAACCUGAAUUUGUGGUUUAUAAAUGUUCAGAAAUGAAGGAAGUCCAUGCAAAAAUUUCAAGCUUUUCUUACUUGAAUAAAAAUCUGAUCAUGACCAUAUUAAUAAUGUAUUUUCUGUUUUUUGCCGGUUCCGUUUGGUCUGGUAUAGGGAGCGUGACAUCGAUCGGUGUCGAGGAUGAUGU
This is an RNA transcript of Lolium rigidum, 1158 nucleotides long. RefSeq lists it as uncharacterized. The record is from RefSeq and is a predicted model, not a curated record. NCBI's taxonomy places the organism in Eukaryota, Viridiplantae, Streptophyta, Magnoliopsida, Poales, Poaceae. The transcript has 4 exons.